This 254-nucleotide ribosomal RNA is filed under the name uncultured bacterium. Its description in RNAcentral is "partial 16S ribosomal RNA". It matches the Rfam family "Bacterial small subunit ribosomal RNA", at positions 524 to 776 of the family's 1533-position model. The record is from RNAcentral.
CACGUAGGGGGCGAGCGUUGUCCGGAUUUAUUGGGCGUAAAGAGCUCGUAGGCGGCUCAGUAAGUCAGGUGUGAAAACUCCAGGCUCAACCUGGAGACGCCACCUGAUACUGCUGUGGCUAGAGUCCGGUAGGGGAGCAUGGAAUUCCUGGUGUAGCGGUGAAAUGCGCAGAUAUCAGGAGGAACACCAGUGGCGAAGGCGGUGCUCUGGGCCGAUACUGACGCUGAGGAGCGAAAGCGUGGGGAGCAAACAGG